CCAGUGAAGGUACAGUAUGUCUUCAAAACUCACUGGUUUGCAAAUCCUGUAGGUGUGUGUCUAUAUAAUUAUAGGAGAUUGAGAGCGGCACAGUGAAACAGCCGUAAAGCGUUGGCCUCACAGUUCUGAGGACUGGGGUUCAAAUCCCAUCCCCGCAUGUGUGGGGUUUGCAUGUUCUCCCAGUGUCUGUGUGGCUUUUCUCCGGGCACUCCGGUUUCCUCCCACAACCCAAAAACAUGCAACAUUAAUUGGACACUCUAAAUUGGCUGUAUGUGUGAUUGUGACUGCGACUGUUGUUAGUCUCUAGGUGCCAUGCGAUUGGCCGGCAAUCAGUUCAGGGUGUACAUUGCCUCCUGUGCAAGCAAUGACAGCUUGGUUAAGCUCCAGCACUCCCGUGAUCUUUGUGAAGAUAAGCAGCUCAGAAGAUGGAUGGAUGGAUGGAUGGAUGGAUGGAUGGAUAGAUGGAUGGAUACCUCAUUCUCAUUCGGACCAAAACACGUUCAUCUCUGGGACACAGAGUCUGACUCCUUCCUGAGUGGUGUGAUGGCUGGAUAUUCCCAUGAGGUUUAUGCUGGCAUAUAAUAGUUGGAACAGAUCGAUGUGGCACCUUCAAGCAUCAGGAGCUUCCAAAGCUCGUCAUCUGGGCUUCCCUACGUUUUUUAAAGAUACAAUCCAUUCCGUGAGCCCAUCCCAGCUGUCAACGACUGCACUGUAUUAAGGAGAGGAUGAUCGCGGCCAUGUAUUGUGAGAUGUUGAGGAACUACCUCUUUUCCUCAGUCAGAGCAUUGAAGAUGGGUCGUGGCUGGGUCUUUCAACAUGACAAUGACCGCACACAGCCAGGAAAACCAAGGAGUGGCUCCGUAAGAAGCACAUCAAGGUUCUGGCAUGGCUUAGCCAGUCUCCAGACCUAAACCCAAUAGAAUAUCUUUGGAGGGAGCUGAAACUCCGUGUUUCUCAGCGACAGCCCAGAAACCUGUCUGAUCUAGAGAAGAUCUGUGUCGAGGAGUGGGCCAAAAUCCCUCCCGCAGUGUGGGAAACCAGGUGAACUAUAGGAAACGUUUGACCUCUGUAAUUCCCA
Molecule: long non-coding RNA, 1078 nt
Organism: Syngnathoides biaculeatus (alligator pipefish)
Lineage: Eukaryota; Metazoa; Chordata; Actinopteri; Syngnathiformes; Syngnathidae
Exons: 3
Source: RefSeq, a predicted model, not a curated record